This 486-nucleotide small RNA is filed under the name Pongo abelii (Sumatran orangutan). RNAcentral's name for it is "processed transcript". The record is from RNAcentral. Lineage: Eukaryota; Metazoa; Chordata; Mammalia; Primates; Hominidae.
UCCCUCGUCUGUCUCCUCUUCUCCUAGGGGCCCAGCCUCUGUGGCCCUGUGACCUGCAGGUAUUGGGAGAUCCCCAGCUAAGACGCCAGGUCUCCCUGGAAGCUUAAAAAUGAUGGACUCUUGCUUUGUCGUCAGACUGGAGUGUGGUGGGAUAAUCUCGGCUCUCUGCAACCUCCACCUCCCAGGUUCAAGCAAUUCUCCUGCCUCAGCCUCCUGAGUAGCUGGGAUUACAGCAUUCUUUCAAGUGCACAAAGUGUGCCCAAGGCUGCCCCUUAGAUGCCUAAAUCCAAUGUGUACUGAAAUUCAGGUGUCCAGGAAUUCAAGAACACAUCCAGAAAACCUGGCUGUUGUAGAAAAAAAUAUAAAUUAGAAAUGAAAAGCUUUAUUCUUCUAUCUUGAAAUAAGCACUUAGCAUCUUAAAGCAUUUAGAUGAUAUGUACAUUUAUCUUUGUUAUUUUGAAAUAUACAUAAAUUAUAUUAACAGCU